UCUUCCGUAGUAUAGUGGUCAGUAUGUGAGCUUGUCAACUUCCAGUCGAUUCGCUCGAGACCCGGGUUCAAUUCCCGGCGGGAGAG
Molecule: non-coding RNA, 86 nt
Organism: Podospora aff. communis PSN243
Lineage: Eukaryota; Fungi; Ascomycota; Sordariomycetes; Sordariales; Podosporaceae
Source: the annotation of a GenBank genome assembly